AACGGAAGCCCCCCUCUCUAAACAUUCCUUCCACCUGCUAGAUGCGGCAGUGGCUGGCGAAGAUGGUGUCUCAGCAGAAGAAGGGAGGUGCGAUGACGGAGGAGGUGGCUACAGCUACCGGCGUGGUGGUGGGAGACCGCCGGAUCUAGCAGCCUGGAGGUCGAGGGCCACCAGAUCUAGAUGACUCCGACCUUCAUGGUGAUGGUUUGGGAGGUAUGAUGGUGUUGGCGGGUUGGAGCUGCGACACCAUCAGCGGCUGGCGGAUGCGCAUCUUCCCCUCCCUCAUUCAAUUCUUGUGAUUAUUGAUGUUUAUUCAUGUUAUCUAGGGUCUUCAUCUUGAGGAUCUGGAUGUGUUGUUUGUUUGGAGUUUAUUGAUUGUAGUUAAUGUGUUCAUGGAUUUGGGGCAUUAUUUUGGGUGAUUUGAGGCAUCAUUUGGGAUCCGGGGUAUUUCAAGGAUAUGCAACCUUGAUGUAUCAGCUUGAAUGCACCGAGCCGAUUUUUUUAAGCUCGUGUGCACCUCAAAGGUGUCAUUUGUGAAACUGGCACCAAUAACCAGGGUUCAUCAGCGCCGCAUCGGUCAUGCGUUUUCUAUAAUAGUGAGAGUCUUUUGUCUAUAAAUGAAUGCACAUUUUAACUUUCUUAAAAAAAAGGUG
This 653-nucleotide small RNA is filed under the name Oryza sativa Japonica Group (Japanese rice). RNAcentral's name for it is "sRNA Os11g0454650". The record is from RNAcentral. Lineage: Eukaryota; Viridiplantae; Streptophyta; Magnoliopsida; Poales; Poaceae.